AAAUGAAUAGACGGGGGCCCGCACAAGCGGAGGAGCAUGUGGUUUAAUUCGAUGAUACGCGAGGAACCUUACCCGGGCUUGAACGUAAGACGAAUAUAGUGGAAACAUUAUAGCCUACGGGCGUCUUGCGAGGUGCUGCAUGGUUGUCGUCAGCUCGUGCCGUGAGGUGUUAGGUUAAGUCCUGCAACGAGCGCAACCCUUACACAUAGUUGCCAGCAUGUAAAGAUGGGGACUCUAUGUGAACUGCCUACGCAAGUAGAGAGGAAGGUGGGGAUGACGUCAAAUCAGCACGGCCCUUAUGUUCGGGGCUACACACGUGCUACAAUGGCAUGUACAGAGGGCAGCCACCAUGCGAAUGGGAGCCAAUCCUCAAAACAUGUCUCAGUUCGGAUUGGAGUCUGUAACUCGACUCUAUGAAGUUGGAUUCGCUAGUAAUCGCGCAUCAGCCAUGGCGCGGUGAAUACGUUCCCGGGCCUUGUACACACCGCCCGU
Molecule: ribosomal RNA, 492 nt
Filed under: uncultured bacterium
Lineage: Bacteria
Description: bacterial SSU rRNA
Rfam family: Bacterial small subunit ribosomal RNA
Source: RNAcentral